This 163-nucleotide ribosomal RNA is filed under the name Boesenbergia clivalis. RNAcentral describes it as "5.8S ribosomal RNA". It matches the Rfam family "5.8S ribosomal RNA". Rfam says of the family: 5.8S ribosomal RNA (5.8S rRNA) is a component of the large subunit of the eukaryotic ribosome. It is transcribed by RNA polymerase I as part of the 45S precursor that also contains 18S and 28S rRNA. The record is from RNAcentral. Lineage: Eukaryota; Viridiplantae; Streptophyta; Magnoliopsida; Zingiberales; Zingiberaceae.
AAAUGACUCUCGGCAAUGGAUAUCUCGGCUCUUGCAUCGAUGAAGAACGUAGUGAAAUGCGAUACUUGGUGUGAAUUGCAGAAUCUCGUGAACCAUUGAGUCUUUGAACGCAAGUUGUGCCCGAGGCCUUGUGGCCGAGGGCACGCCUGCUUGGGCGUCAUGG